This 253-nucleotide ribosomal RNA is filed under the name uncultured bacterium. Its description in RNAcentral is "partial 16S ribosomal RNA". It matches the Rfam family "Bacterial small subunit ribosomal RNA", at positions 524 to 776 of the family's 1533-position model. The record is from RNAcentral.
UACGAAGGGGGCUAGCGUUGCUCGGAAUCACUGGGCGUAAAGGGUGCGUAGGCGGAUCUUUAAGUCAGAGGUGAAAUCCCAAGGCUCAACCUUGGAACUGCCUUUGAUACUGGGGAUCUUGAGUCCGGGGAGAGGUGAGUGGAACUGCGAGUGUAGAGGUGAAAUUCGUAGAUAUCGCAAGAACACCAGUGGCGAAGGCGGCUCACUGGCCCGGUACUGACGCUGAGGUGCGAAAGCGUGGGGAGCAAACAGG